CCCUUAGAUGUUCUGGGCCGCACGCGCGCUACACUGAUGCAUUCAACGAGUCUACAACCUGGUCUGAUAGGGCUGGGUAAUCUUUUGAAAGUGCAUCGUGAUAGGGAUAGACUAUUGCAAUUAUUGGUCUUCAACGAGGAAUUCCUAGUAGACGUAGUUCAUCAGACUGCAUCGAUUACGUCCCUGCCCUUUGUACACACCGCCCGUCGCUCCUACCGAUUGAAUGCUCAGGUGAGCCAUUCGGACUUUCAUCAUGCUGGUUUCCAGUUUUGAUGAAGGAAAGUCUUGCGAACCUUAUCAUUUAGAGGAAGGAGAAGUCGUAACA
This 325-nucleotide ribosomal RNA is filed under the name uncultured eukaryote. RNAcentral's name for it is "partial 18S ribosomal RNA". It matches the Rfam family "Eukaryotic small subunit ribosomal RNA", at positions 1470 to 1796 of the family's 1831-position model. The record is from RNAcentral.